This is a long non-coding RNA of Dalotia coriaria, 1674 nucleotides long. RefSeq lists it as uncharacterized. Lineage: Eukaryota; Metazoa; Arthropoda; Insecta; Coleoptera; Staphylinidae. The transcript is spliced from 3 exons. The record is from RefSeq and is a predicted model, not a curated record.
CGCGGGUCGUGAUUCGGUUUGAUUGUCGCGAUUGUCCGAAAUGAAUUGGAAUCGUUUCGAGCGCUCCACGCCGGCGCAAUGCGCUCAGUUUUGCACACGAUGAUCGACGCAUCGUCACACGAUACACGGACAAACACGCACAGCCAAACAGUUAAUUAUCGCCGUCAAAUGAAAAAUACUUCGAGCACGCAAGUCAAAUAUUUUCGUCAAUCGUGGUUUAGGUAGUGAUUGCCGGACGCAACGACAACUCGCUCCGAAUUGAAACUUGAAGAACCAGAAAAUCAACAAACACGCCGACACACCACCGACAAGUACUACUAAUGAGCCGAAGACGUCGCAGUCGAUGACACUUGAACAACUCGCCGCACCAAAACGCGCGCACGCACUAUUAAGGUGUUUUUCGCAAAAACCCGCUCGCACUUUGCCAACACGCAACCAAAUAAAAGAGCGUGCGAAUUGUCGAAUCGAUGAUAUGUGCGUGUGAUGGUUGUUUCUUGCGUGCGGUUUGCUUUGCGGAGUCACGUUUGGGCAUCUAUUGGCAAAACGUGCGCUCGCGUUCGCUAUUUAUGCGCGCAGAAAGUCGCAUGGAGAAGAGAGCAGUGGCAGCAGCAGGAGUUUAAAGAGUGGUGAGCUUUAAUUCACCAGUUUUUCCCCGGUUUUUAGGCACAAAAAGUGAUACUUUAAACACGGAUGACCAAAGUCGUGACUAAAAUACUUUAGUCACGGGCUUUAGUCACGAGGUGAAAUUUACCACAGAAAAAUUAUUUAAAAAAUAAAAACAAUGUUUUAAAUAAAUAAUUGUCACCCCUUAGGACAUAAUCAUGUGCCGCCAUGUAACGGAAGUAGACCGUCUGGAAAAAAUUGCGUUGUCAUUGGAAAACGAAAGCCAGCAUCUGAUAAUGACAUUUCACAGUGGCCAUGAAUCGUAUCUAAAAGUUAUUCUUACAACAAACUUACACCUUAUAUUUAACACUCAGUCACCUAUUAUACGACCAGUGGAUUUCAUGAAGAUUAUGAAUAUUUAUUGAUAUGUGUUAUUAAAUAAAAGUUAAAAAUGAAUUUACUGUGCGCUCGGAUGAGCGCCGACUAAUGAGGAAAACUCAAUUAAUGGCUGGGCAUAAUUUUAAUAACGCUCGUUGAGUACUUGAAUAGGCAUUCGAAUUGUAAAAUGGCCGUCGCAAAAUUGCCACACAACGACAAUUACGUUGCAAGGUUACACAACCUGCAAUGUUUUGUGUGAUCAUUUAUUAAUAGGAUUUAAUACAAUUAAAUUAUUGUAAUCAGCAGUCAUUAGCGAAUGAUUGUCAAAAACAGGAUAUUAAUGGACAAAAGGCGGUUUAUUAACUGUAUUGUCAAAUAAGGUUAUGUUUAAAAGUAGCCAUACAAUGAUUAAGACUCGGAAAAACUGUUUUUGUUAUUUUGAGGUUAGUUUAAUCCCUACUAAUAUUAUAAAUGCGAAAGUUCUGAUGUUUGUUACACUUUCACGCAAAAACUACUGAACCUAUCAUCAUAAAAAUUUGUACACAUAUUCUUAGUGGUCCCUGAAUGGUUAUAGGCUAUUUUAUUUAAUAAAAAAAUUAUUUUUUAAAUAAAAUAAAGAAAUAGUUUAGCCAAUAAUACCUCUGCAUCUGGCUAUUUGACUACUUUAACGCCAUCUAGCAUUCCCGCAAUGAA